RNAcentral lists this transfer RNA (72 nucleotides) under Camelus bactrianus (Bactrian camel). It matches the Rfam family "tRNA". From Rfam's summary of the family: Transfer RNA (tRNA) molecules are approximately 80 nucleotides in length. Their secondary structure includes four short double-helical elements and three loops (D, anti-codon, and T loops). Lineage: Eukaryota; Metazoa; Chordata; Mammalia; Artiodactyla; Camelidae. The record is from Rfam by way of RNAcentral. RNAcentral also lists the same sequence under 1 other name.
CGGGGUAUAGCUCAGUGGUAGACUGAGUGCUUGGCACGCACAAGGUCCUGGGUUCAAUCCCCGGUACCUCCA